This 460-nucleotide ribosomal RNA is filed under the name uncultured bacterium. RNAcentral's name for it is "partial 16S ribosomal RNA". It matches the Rfam family "Bacterial small subunit ribosomal RNA", at positions 338 to 795 of the family's 1533-position model. The record is from RNAcentral.
CCUACGGGUGGCAGCAGUGAGGAAUAUUGGUCAAUGGACGCGAGUCUGAACCAGCCAAGCCGCGUGAAGGAAGACGGCCCUAUGGGUUGUAAACUUCUUUUGUAUGAGAGUAAAACCCGCUACGUGUAGCUUUUUGUAAGUAUCCUACGAAUAAGGAUCGGCUAACUCCGUGCCAGCAGCCGCGGUAAUACGGAGGAUUCGAGCGUUAUCCGGAUUUAUUGGGUUUAAAGGGUGCGUAGGAGGUUAGUUAAGUUAGAGGUGAAAUUUUGGGGCUCAACCGGGACAGUGCCUUUGAUACUGUCAGGCUUGAGUAUAGUAGAGGUAGGCGGAAUGUGUGGUGUAGCGGUGAAAUGCAUAGAGAUCACGAAGAACACCGAUUGCGAAGGCAGCUUACCGAACUGCGACUGACGCUGAGGCACGAAAGUGUGGGGAGCAAACAGGAUUAGAUACCCGUGUAGUC